AGCGAACGCUGGCGGCAGGCCUAACACAUGCAAGUCGAACGAACCUUUCGGGGUUAGUGGCGGACGGGUGAGUAACACGUGGGAACGUGCCUUUAGGUUCGGAAUAACUCAGGGAAACUUGUGCUAAUACCGAAUGUGCCCUUCGGGGGAAAGAUUAAUCGCCUUUAGAGCGGCCCGCGUCUGAUUAGCUAGUUGGUUGAGGUAAUGGCUCACCAAGGCGACGAUCAGUAGCUGGUCUGAGAGGAUGAUCAGCCACAUUGGGACUGAGACACGGCCCAAACUCCUACGGGAGGCAGCAGUGGGGAAUCUUGCGCAAUGGGCGAAAGCCUGACGCAGCCAUGCCGGGUGAAUGAUGAAGGUCUUAGGAUUGUAAAAUUCUUUCAACGGGGACGAUAAUGACGGUACCCGGAGAAGAAGCCCCGGCUAACUUCGUG
RNAcentral lists this ribosomal RNA (434 nucleotides) under uncultured bacterium. RNAcentral describes it as "partial 16S ribosomal RNA". It matches the Rfam family "Bacterial small subunit ribosomal RNA", at positions 29 to 507 of the family's 1533-position model. The record is from RNAcentral.